RNAcentral lists this ribosomal RNA (502 nucleotides) under uncultured bacterium. Its description in RNAcentral is "partial 16S ribosomal RNA". It matches the Rfam family "Bacterial small subunit ribosomal RNA", at positions 30 to 523 of the family's 1533-position model. The record is from RNAcentral.
AUUGAACGCUGGCGGCAGGCUAAACACAUGCAAGUCGAGCGGGGUGAUGGUGCUUGCACUAUCACUUAGCGGCGGACGGGUGAGUAAUGCUUAGGAAUCUGCCUAUUAGUGGGGGACAACAUCUCGAAAGGGAUGCUAAUACCGCAUACGUCCUACGGGAGAAAGCAGGGGAUCACUUGUGACCUUGCGCUAAUAGAUGAGCCUAAGUCGGAUUAGCUAGUUGGUGGGGUAAAGGCCUACCAAGGCGACGAUCCCUAGCUGGUCUGAGAGGAUGACCAGCCACACUGGAACUGAGACACGGUCCAGACUCCUACGGGAGGCAGCAGUGGGGAAUAUUGCACAAUGGGCGCAAGCCUGAUGCAGCCAUGCCGCGUGUAUGAAGAAGGCCUUCGGGUUGUAAAGUACUUUCAGCGGGGAGGAAGGCGAUAAGGUUAAUAACCUUGUCGAUUGACGUUACCCGCAGAAGAAGCACCGGCUAACUCCGUGCCAGCCGCCGCAGUAA